UUAUUAGGAUUCACAGGAGAGUGAGCCUUGUGCACAAUCUGAAGAAAGGAUUCCAUAUUGCAGACCUGCUUCCAGGCUCUGAGUUCAGAGGAAGAAAACUAGAGAAUCUUCAUUCAACAAAUCUGUGUUAAGUGCCAGCUGUGUGCCAGGCACUGUUCUGAGAUGGUGGGGUGUACCAACACGAAGAAAUGGCCCCGCCCCAGAGGAGCUGACAGUUACAGGAUGCUGGUGAGAUGGACAAGGAAUCUCCAGGCAAGAAAUCUCACCAGGAGACUGGGACUUGGAAAUGCAGACAGAAGACCUCCAAGCUGAAGAUGUAAAUGUGGGGAAGCGGUGGAGCCCGCGCGGAGCGAUUGUGAGGGGCUCUGCUGGAAUUUGGCAACGUGGAGGCUUGGAGAGCAGCCCCAUGCUGGCUCCUAUUCAGCAGGCCAGUUUUCCUCGAGCUUUGGAAGUUUCACUCAGCCGUGCACUCAAUGGCUUCACAAAGCUGAUUACAAGCUUCAGCGCAUUCCUGAAGGAGCCAAAAGCGACGCAGGUGCAAACGAGCUGAGGGAGCCCCUUAUCCCGGUGACAGAAUGGGACAAGCUGGGAAAGGCUUGGACCACACAAAUCCAAGCUCACCAGGCAGCAGAAAGCCUGCCUUGGGAACCGGGGGUCAUUAUCCGCCCUAUUCAGCGGGGCCCGGGGACCCUAGGGGCCCCGGAGGCCGGCCUGCGCCGGAGUGCCAGUACGCGCCUGUGGGAGUGGAGACCUCGCCUAGCCCUGCGGCGAGGCUGGGGCGCCCAACGGCGGUGUGUGCGUUUAGACCUACAGCAUCCGUGAUAUUCGUGAUCCGACAGGCCGUGUCAACACCACUAGGGACAGAGGAGGAAAGGCCGUGAAAGAGGCAACAUGGGCGUGGACAGUGCGCAACGUUUGUUCAUCCCGAGUCAGAUGGCACUGCCCUACCCCCUCCCCAGCCUGGAGCCGCAGGUCCCCAUCGGUCCCCCAGGCCACGGACUCAGCUCCGAGAGUCACACUGUGCCUUUUCUCCCCCAGUCCGCCUUUCCCAUUCAUCCUCACGGACAGCGGGGCCGCGGGGGCAACUAGACGAGGUGCGCUUGGGAGCUACAGUGAUUGGCUGCAAGGAGCGGGGGGCAGUCGGCCACAGGGCCUCCCUGUCGAAGCUCGCUCGGAGUGGCCAAGGUCCCACUCCAUCGCUGCGUGUGUAAUUCCAACGGGGGCAGGAGGGCCAGUCCACUCCGAAAAAAUGAAUGACGUUCCUGCUCCGGCUCAAAGACAGAAAACCAGGGCCUGCGGGAGGCGGGAAGAGAGGGGCAGCGCAGCGGGUAGCGCGCGGGAAACCGCGGACUCGGGGCCCUGGAAGGGAACGUGGGUGUAGAAGGGACUAGAGGCGAGGUGGGGGCGGAGCUGGCGCGCAGGCGCCCCUGGGGCUCCGGGAGUCUCAGAGGGAGCCCCGCGCCGCCUCCAAGCAAGCGCAGCACUCGAGGGCUUGCG
This is a long non-coding RNA of Phyllostomus hastatus (greater spear-nosed bat), 1497 nucleotides long. RefSeq lists it as uncharacterized. NCBI's taxonomy places the organism in Eukaryota, Metazoa, Chordata, Mammalia, Chiroptera, Phyllostomidae. The record is from RefSeq and is a predicted model, not a curated record. The transcript has 3 exons.